GAUCCUGGCUCAGGACGAACGCUGGCGGCGCGCCUAACACAUGCAAGUCGAACGAGCGAGAGGAAGCUUGCUUUCUCGAGCGAGUGGCGAACGGGUGAGUAACGCGUGAGGAACCUGCCUCAAAGAGGGGGACAACAGUUGGAAACGACUGCUAAUACCGCAUAAGCCCACAGGUCGGCAUCGACCAGAGGGAAAAGGAGCAAUCCGCUUUGAGAUGGCCUCGCGUCCGAUUAGCUAGUUGG
This 242-nucleotide ribosomal RNA is filed under the name uncultured bacterium. RNAcentral describes it as "partial 16S ribosomal RNA". It matches the Rfam family "Bacterial small subunit ribosomal RNA", at positions 15 to 252 of the family's 1533-position model. The record is from RNAcentral.